CUCCUACGGGAGGCAGCAGUGGGGAAUAUUGCACAAUGGGCGAAAGCCUGAUGCAGCGACGCCGCGUGAGGGAUGACGGCCUUCGGGUUGUAAACCUCUUUCAGCAGGGACGAAGCGAGAGUGACGGUACCUGCAGAAGAAGCACCGGCCAACUACGUGCCAGCAGCCGCGGUAAUACGUAGGGUGCAAGCGUUGUCCGGAAUUACUGGGCGUAAAGAGCUCGUAGGCGGUUUGUCGCGUCGUCUGUGAAAACUCGAGGCUCAACCUCGAGCUUGCAGGCGAUACGGGCAGACUUGAGUACUGCAGGGGAGACUGGAAUUCCUGGUGUAGCGGUGAAAUGCGCAGAUAUCAGGAGGAACACCGGUGGCGAAGGCGGGUCUCUGGGCAGUAACUGACGCUGAGGAGCGAAAGCGUGGGUAGCGAACAGGAUUAGAUACCCUGGUAGUCCACGCCGUAAACGGUGGGCGCUAGGUGUGGGUUUCCUUCCACGGGAUCCGUGCCGUAGCUAACGCAUUUAGCGCCCCGCCUGGGGAGUACGGCCGCAAGGCUAAAACUCAAAGGAAUUGACGG
Molecule: ribosomal RNA, 570 nt
Filed under: uncultured bacterium
Lineage: Bacteria
Description: bacterial SSU rRNA
Rfam family: Bacterial small subunit ribosomal RNA
Source: RNAcentral